GACGAACGCUGGCGGCGUGCUUAACACAUGCAAGUCGAACGGAAAGGCCCUGCUUUUGUGGGGUGCUCGAGUGGCGAACAGGUGAGUAACACGUGAGUAACCUGCCCUUGAAUUUGGGAUAACAUCAGGGAACUGGGGCUAAUACCGGGUAGGAGCUCCUGCUGCAUGGGGGGGGUUGGAAAAUUUCGGCGGUUGGGGAAGGACUCGAGGCUUAUCAGCUUGUUGGGGGGGUUGUUGCUGACCAAGGCUUUGACGGGUAGGCGGCAUGAGAGGGUGACCGGCGACCUUGCGACUGAGAUACGGCCCAGACGCCUACGGGAGGCAACAGUGGGGAAUAUUGCACAAUGGGCGGAAGCCUGAUGCAACAACGCCGCGAUCGGGAUGACCUCCUUCGGGUUGUAAACCGCUGUCUCCUUUGACGAAGCGUUAGUGACGGUAAUGGGUAAAGAAGCACCGGCUAACUACGUG
Molecule: ribosomal RNA, 468 nt
Filed under: uncultured bacterium
Lineage: Bacteria
Description: partial 16S ribosomal RNA
Rfam family: Bacterial small subunit ribosomal RNA
Source: RNAcentral